This is a long non-coding RNA of Homo sapiens (human), 2157 nucleotides long. Ensembl annotates it as long intergenic non-protein coding RNA 2140. Lineage: Eukaryota; Metazoa; Chordata; Mammalia; Primates; Hominidae. The record is from Ensembl.
ACUCAGGAUCCGAGGGGGGAAGAGUGACAGCAGCAGCUGACCGCCCCUCCCGCCGCCUCCUGAGAGGCCCCCAUGAUAAAGCAUCCUGCUUUGUGGUGUAAUCAACUUGCCAUACAUGCAUUACCUCCUAAUGAGCGCCGUGUUUAAACAAGUGUAUAGAACACAUCUGUCCGGGCCUUGGGACUCGAGGCUGUGUGACCAAUUUCAGCAUCUGAAAGUUAAAUUAAUGGUAAAGGGUUUAAUUGUGAGUAAACAAUACCACAUUAAGGAGCAGUAAACACAGCAGUGGGGACCCACCGACCCGCUCUGCCAUCACAGAUGCGGCGGCCUCCAUGUGACCGUUAAUAGUCCCCGCCGCCUGGAAGUUCUGACAGCGCCCUGAAGCCCAUUUGUCAUCUAAAUGGUCCGUCCCCUUCUUAAACAUCAUUUUGGCCCAAGGUCCAUUCAUGGGGCCUGCCGGGUGUUCCUGGGAAGAUGGGCAGAAAAUCCCAAGGCCACCAUUUAGUGCCAAUAAACAGAAGGCCUGGUUUCUUCAAAAGAAACACAAGAAAUUGUUUCCUGGUUUUGCCACAGAGAUUGGGUCACAGAGUGCCACCUAAAUGGUAUUACCAUAUUUGUGUUGUCGCCUCUUGGUUUGAAAUUUAUUCCUGGUAUGACUUGUGUCUCCCCUUGUUCCAUCUCUGACACCCAAGCCCAUGGGAUGACAACCCAGGCUGAGAUGUCCCAUGUGUCACAAAGGAGUCCUUCAGUAUUUCCAGGAAUAGUUGGAACCAGCACUCCAUCCCCUACCUGGACCUGGCACCCUCUCUACUCUUGUCAAUUCUACACUAAUCACAGGAAGAAGGUGGAAUUAGUCCAAGCUGGGUUUUCAGAAAUAACUUGUAGACAUGCAACAGAUGUUUAUAACCCUCAGAAGCGGAAGGAAACUUGGAAACCCUCUCUUUCGGUGACUUUUUUUCUAAUGAUUGUCUCUGCCAUGAAAUUCUAACUUCAAAUGAAAUCUUUGGCAGGAACCCAGGGCUGUUCUGUCAAGGUUCAGCUGCAGGACCAGAGCCCCUUCCACCUAACCCCCACUCCUAUCCUGAUGCUUCCUGAGGCACAUCUGCUGUGGUUUCUCACCAGAGAACAGUCUGCAAAAUCACUGCACCUUGUCCAACUCCAUUUUCCAACUGAGAAGACUUGGCCCAGAGAAGUGCACAGACUUGAGGGAAGUAACACAGCAAUCGGACAGACAGACAUCCCCAGAUAUACCUGCUACGGUCCUGGGAGAAAAUAGAGACCCAUCCCCAAAUACCAUCAUCCUCAUCAUUCUCUGUAGCCCAAUCAAAUGAUGCUCCAGGCCUGAGAUUUUAUCCAAUGAACACUCUGUACAUCUUUAAAAGAGAUAUGUACUUGUCUUAUUCCUCCUUUCCUUUCUUUAAAAAAAAACACAGGCCCCAGAUCCAGUCAUUCUAAAUAGGAAGGAAAAACAUAACCCACUGAGGCAAUGGAUGCUGUUUCUCUCCCUGCUCUGUGACUUUAGUUUGCCUUUAAAGCCCAUUUUCACCAUUUAUUGAUUUUAGUUUUCUACUUGUCUAUGAAUGACAACUUGAAUUAAGACAACGCAGGCUGAAAAGCCGCUAGGCAGUGCUAAAUGGACAAGCUACACUUCGUGGCAGGAUGUCUCAUGACCGUGCCACCUUCUGCCUAGCCCCAUUCUCUGGAGGAGCUGUGGGCAGACCGACCCCAGCCUGGCCGCCUGGCAUGGGGACUGGUUGCGUCAGAUCGGAGCUCUGAGAUAAGGGUGGGCCAGGGCAUGAUCAUCACCACUGCCAGCCUCGAAGCCUCUUUGCUGACCUGGAGGUGAUCUGUGUAUCAAAGGGGGCUGUGUAUUCAACAGCACUUCCAGAAGAGGCCAAAGAUCUGUCUCUACUUCAGCCUCCACUGGGCAGAAAACUAAGCCUAUUUGCUCUAGGCCCUUCAGACUUGCACUUGGAGAAAGAAAACUCACUAAGUCAGCCCUUAUGUAACUCCACUCUCCUCUCUUCCAAACCUCCUUGCUUUGGACAAAUAUUUGACAGAAAAUGCCCUUUUGCAACGCCUUAAAAGUUACAAAAAUGGUGCACCCUAUCCUUUAAUCUGUACUGUAAAUAAAAAAUAUUAACACAAACCCUUUAA